This 1344-nucleotide ribosomal RNA is filed under the name uncultured bacterium. RNAcentral describes it as "partial 16S ribosomal RNA". It matches the Rfam family "Bacterial small subunit ribosomal RNA", at positions 28 to 1380 of the family's 1533-position model. The record is from RNAcentral.
GACGAACGCUGGCGGCGUGCUUAACACAUGCAAGUCGAACGGAAAGGCCCUGCUUUUGUGGGGUGCUCGAGUGGCGAACGGGUGAGUAACACGUGAGUAACCUGCCCUUGACUUUGGGAUAACUUCAGGAAACUGGGGCUAAUACCGGAUAGGAGCUCCUGCUGCAUGGUGGGGGUUGGAAAGUUUCGGCGGUUGGGGAUGGACUCGCGGCUUAUCAGCUUGUUGGUGGGGUAGUGGCUUACCAAGGCUUUGACGGGUAGCCGGCCUGAGAGGGUGACCGGCCACAUUGGGACUGAGAUACGGCCCAGACUCCUACGGGAGGCAGCAGUGGGGAAUAUUGCACAAUGGGCGGAAGCCUGAUGCAGCAACGCCGCGUGCGGGAUGACGGCCUUCGGGUUGUAAACCGCUUUCGCCUGUGACGAAGCGUGAGUGACGGUAAUGGGUAAAGAAGCACCGGCUAACUACGUGCCAGCAGCCGCGGUGAUACGUAGGGUGCGAGCGUUGUCCGGAUUUAUUGGGCGUAAAGGGCUCGUAGGUGGUUGAUCGCGUCGGAAGUGUAAUCUUGGGGCUUAACCCUGAGCGUGCUUUCGAUACGGGUUGACUUGAGGAAGGUAGGGGAGAAUGGAAUUCCUGGUGGAGCGGUGGAAUGCGCAGAUAUCAGGAGGAACACCAGUGGCGAAGGCGGUUCUCUGGGCCUUUCCUGACGCUGAGGAGCGAAAGCGUGGGGAGCGAACAGGCUUAGAUACCCUGGUAGUCCACGCUGUAAACGGUGGGUACUAGGUGUGGGGUCCAUUCCACGGGUUCCGUGCCGUAGCUAACGCUUUAAGUACCCCGCCUGGGGAGUACGGCCGCAAGGCUAAAACUCAAAGGAUUGACGGGGCCCCGCACAAGCGGCGGAGCAUGCGGAUUAAUUCGAUGCAACGCGUAGAACCUUACCUGGGUUUGACUUGGAUCGGGAGUGCUCAGAGAUGGGUGUGCCUCUUUUGGGGUCGGUUCACGGGUGGUGCAUGGCUGUCGUCAGCUCGUGUCGUGAGAUGUUGGGUUAAGUCCCGCAACGAGCGCAACCCUUGUUCACUGUUGCCAGCACGUUAUGGUGGGGACUCAGUGGAGACCGCCGGGGUCAACUCGGAGGAAGGUGGGGAUGACGUCAAGUCAUCAUGCCCCUUAUGUCCAGGGCUUCACGCAUGCUACAAUGGCUGGUACAGAGAGUGGCGAGCCUGUGAGGGUGAGCGAAUCUCGGAAAGCCGGUCUCAGUUCGGAUUGGGGUCUGCAACUCGACCUCAUGAAGUCGGAGUCGCUAGUAAUCGCAGAUCAGCAACGCUGCGGUGAAUACGUUCCCGGGGC